RNAcentral lists this ribosomal RNA (228 nucleotides) under uncultured bacterium. RNAcentral describes it as "partial 16S ribosomal RNA". It matches the Rfam family "Bacterial small subunit ribosomal RNA", at positions 103 to 334 of the family's 1533-position model. The record is from RNAcentral.
CGGGUGAGUAAUAUAUCGGAACGUGCCCAGUAAUGGGGGAUAGCCCGGCGAAAGCCGGAUUAAUACCGCAUACGACCUAUGGGUGAAAGCGGGGGAUCGCAAGACCUCGCGUUAUUGGAGCGGCCGAUAUCAGAUUAGCUUGUUGGUGGGGUAAAAGCCUACCAAGGCGACGAUCUGUAGCUGGUCUGAGAGGACGACCAGCCACACUGGGACUGAGACACGGCCCAG